Molecule: long non-coding RNA, 778 nt
Organism: Fopius arisanus
Lineage: Eukaryota; Metazoa; Arthropoda; Insecta; Hymenoptera; Braconidae
Exons: 3
Source: RefSeq, a predicted model, not a curated record
CUUAACGGAAUCAGGGGAAAGCGCAUCAACGUAAAACUAUCGCUUCAAUCUGUUCAGGCGUCUAUCCAUCAUUUAUCCCGGGUAUAUUCACUAUAAAACAUUGAAAAAUUACUCUAAAAAGAGAAGAGAAAUUGUUCAGAUUCCAAUUUCGUAAAUUCCAUCAAGGGAUCCCCGGGUCAAUUGUUUUUGAAUGUUUAUUGCGGACGAUUAUCGGGAUUAAGUUUGCAGAUAAUUGUAAUUAUGGAAGAGGACACCAAUGCACGGCAGGAGGAAAAAAUUGGGGAGAUUUUAGCGCGGCACCAAGGAGAUUAAUCGGUGCCGAUGACGGAAUUCAUUUUUUUUCUGCUCAAUCCAGUCAAUGUGUCAACUCGUUUGAACAUUCAACGAUUUACCUCGCUACAUUUAUUCCUCAGAAUUAUUAACGAAAUUCUUUGCGUAUUUUUGUCAAAUUUCCUGUUGCACGAACAUUCUUUUUUCUUGGGUAUCCAUCCAACUAUCUGAUUAUGAUGGCUAAAACCAUUUAAAGUUUCCGGAAAUUUUUCGAAUCUGAAGAUUGUAUGAUGUGUAUAGAAUUUUUCACAUGUUAGUAGGACGUGAUGAGUGAAUUUUUUAGAAAAAUAAUGAAUCUAAUUUUACCCUUUUGACCUUUAAAAUGAUAUGACGAAUAUGUUGAAAAUAGAAAAAUACCAGUAAUAUUAGGGAUUUUGGUGUUACCGUAAGAAUGUAUAUUUUUCUUCCUUUAGAUUUUCUCGAUUUAAUGAGACAAAAUAUAUGAGCA